Molecule: ribosomal RNA, 2252 nt
Filed under: Providencia stuartii
Lineage: Bacteria; Pseudomonadati; Pseudomonadota; Gammaproteobacteria; Enterobacterales; Morganellaceae
Description: partial 23S ribosomal RNA
Rfam family: Bacterial large subunit ribosomal RNA
Source: RNAcentral
AGUUGCAGGGUAUAGACCCGAAACCCGGUGAUCUAGCCAUGGGCAGGUUGAAGGUUGGGUAACACUAACUGGAGGACCGAACCGACUAAUGUUGAAAAAUUAGCGGAUGACUUGUGGCUGGGGGUGAAAGGCCAAUCAAACCGGGAGAUAGCUGGUUCUCCCCGAAAGCUAUUUAGGUAGCGCCUCGUGAACUCAUCUUCGGGGGUAGAGCACUGUUUCGGCUAGGGGGUCAUCCCGACUUACCAACCCGAUGCAAACUACGAAUACCGAAGAAUGUUAUCACGGGAGACACACGGCGGGUGCUAACGUUCGUCGUGAAGAGGGAAACAACCCAGACCGCCAGCUAAGGUCCCAAAGUCAUGGUUAAGUGGGAAACGAAGUGGGAAGGCUCAGACAGCCAGGAUGUUGGCUUAGAAGCAGCCAUCAUUUAAAGAAAGCGUAAUAGCUCACUGGUCGAGUCGGCCUGCGCGGAAGAUGUAACGGGGCUAAACCAUGCACCGAAGCUGCGGCAGCGACAUGUAAAUGUUGUUGGGUAGGGGAGCGUUCUGUAAGCCUGUGAAGGUGUGCUGCGAGGCAUGCUGGAGGUAUCAGAAGUGCGAAUGCUGACAUAAGUAACGAUAAUGCGGGUGAAAAACCCGCACGCCGGAAGACCAAGGGUUCCUGUCCAACGUUAAUCGGGGCAGGGUGAGUCGACCCCUAAGGCGAGGCAGAAAUGCGUAGUCGAUGGGAAACAGGUUAAUAUUCCUGUACUGGUGAUAAUUGCGAUGGGGGGACGGAGAAGGCUAGGCUGGCCGGGCGACGGUUGUCCCGGUUUAAGGAUGUAGGUGGGCGAAUUAGGCAAAUCCGGUUCGCUAUACACUGAGGUCUGAUGACGAGUCACUACGGUGGCGAAGUAGCUCAUGCCCCGCUUCCAGGAAAAGCCUCUAAGCUCUAGAUUAUCAUUAAUCGUACCCCAAACCGACACAGGUGGUCAGGUAGAGAAUACUCAGGCGCUUGAGAGAACUCGGGUGAAGGAACUAGGCAAAAUGGUGCCGUAACUUCGGGAGAAGGCACGCUGGCAUUAGGUGAAGUGGUUUACCCAUGGAGCUGAAGCCAGUCGCAGAUACCAGCUGGCUGCAACUGUUUAUUAAAAACACAGCACUGUGCAAACACGAAAGUGGACGUAUACGGUGUGACGCCUGCCCGGUGCUGGAAGGUUAAUUGAUGGGGUUAUCCGUAAGGAGAAGCUCUUGAUCGAAGCCCCAGUAAACGGCGGCCGUAACUAUAACGGUCCUAAGGUAGCGAAAUUCCUUGUCGGGUAAGUUCCGACCUGCACGAAUGGCGUAAUGAUGGCCAGGCUGUCUCCACCCGAGACUCAGUGAAAUUGAACUCGCUGUGAAGAUGCAGUGUACCCGCGGCAAGACGGAAAGACCCCGUGAACCUUUACUAUAGCUUGACACUGAACAUUGAGCCUUGAUGUGUAGGAUAGGUGGGAGGCUUUGAAGUGUGGACGCCAGUCUGCAUGGAGCCAACCUUGAAAUACCACCCUUUAAUGUUUGAUGUUCUAACGUAGCCCCAUAAUCUGGGGUGCGGACAGUGUCUGGUGGGUAGUUUGACUGGGGCGGUCUCCUCCCAAAGCGUAACGGAGGAGCACGAAGGUUGGCUAAGCAUGGUCGGACAUCAUGCGGUUAGUGCAAAGGCAUAAGCCAGCUUGACUGCGAGAGUGACGGCUCGAGCAGGUACGAAAGUAGGUCUUAGUGAUCCGGUGGUUCUGAAUGGAAGGGCCAUCGCUCAACGGAUAAAAGGUACUCCGGGGAUAACAGGCUGAUACCGCCCAAGAGUUCAUAUCGACGGCGGUGUUUGGCACCUCGAUGUCGGCUCAUCACAUCCUGGGGCUGAAGUAGGUCCCAAGGGUAUGGCUGUUCGCCAUUUAAAGUGGUACGCGAGCUGGGUUUAGAACGUCGUGAGACAGUUCGGUCCCUAUCUGCCGUGGGCGUUGGAAGAUUGAAAGGGGCUGCUCCUAGUACGAGAGGACCGGAGUGGACGCACCGCUGGUGUUCGGGUUGUCAUGCCAAUGGCACUGCCCGGUAGCUAAGUGCGGAAGAGAUAACCGCUGAAAGCAUCUAAGCGGGAAACUUGCCUUGAGAUGAGUCUUCCCUGACUCUUUAAGGGUCCUAAAGGAACGUUUAAGACGAAGACGUUGAUAGGCUGGGUGUGUAAGCGUAGCGAUACGUUGAGCUAACCAGUACUAAUGAACCGUGAGGCUUAACCUG